GCAAAUUCUAUGAAAAACCCAAAUUGUACAAUUUCAAUGAGUGAAAGCAUGCUAUGUGAAUGUCUUCAUAAAGGUUUUAUUUAAAAAAUGAGCAAACGGUAGAAUGUUAACAUGGCCCACGUCUAUGUGGUGUCUAUAUUGGUUUCUAUUAUAUGUUUUCUAUGUGGUUGAAACAUUCCUAAUAAAAUGUGCAUAGUUUUUUAAAAAAGAAAACACAUCAGUGGACGUGAAUGCAGGAUGUCUUAUGAAUGCUCACACAGAAGCUCCCAUUCCUGAGGAAUGCAGGGAAAAGCAGAAGAUGGAGUAGGAGUUGGCAUGGCCCAGCUAGCUCAGAUGACACACGAUGGUCCCAGUGGCAUGACUUGGUUUGUGUGAUUUGUGCUUUGGGGUUUUAUUUUGGCACAUUAUAAAGGAGUAAAGCCUGUAUACAGUCAGUUUCUGUCUAUUCUAAUGAAGGGCAAGGGGAUGAAGGGAUUUACCUUGACUAACCAUCCACUUACAUUGAUUAGGAAUCUUGUGAUCCUAUCGUCACCCGUGAGAUUUCUAUGUUGUUUGUGUUUAAUGUCAGAGAAUAUCUUUUAAUCGCUCAUACAGUUUAUGCAAAUACCGUAUACGUGAUAAACGUCCCUACAACAUGAUCUUUGGAAUGAACUAAGACAAAGGAAAUUCUGAGGAAGGACCAUGGCAUGAGAGGUGGAAUUCAUCCUUCCGAGGACUGAGAUGAGGACGGAAAAUGAACCAUCGGGGGGAUUGACGGUGAAGAUGCAAAUACCUGCCCAGCAUCGACCCUAGUGCGGGUCCCAAGACCAUCCCCCUGUGCAGGCUCCACCACCGCUGUGCUAACUGGACCGCGGCAGAAGAGUAUGGGUGUGUGCCAGGUUUCUGCUGGGCCCUGCAGCUCCUCCCCCCAGCCCCAUGUGAUGUGCCCCUGGCCAUUGACACUCAGUUCGAGGGAAGGCACUGGGGUGUACACUCAAAGACCUAAACCCAGGGUGGGUGCGGUGGCUCACGUCUGCAAUCC
Molecule: long non-coding RNA, 1021 nt
Filed under: Pan troglodytes (chimpanzee)
Lineage: Eukaryota; Metazoa; Chordata; Mammalia; Primates; Hominidae
Description: long non-coding RNA NONPTRT017894
Source: RNAcentral